AAAAAGCACCGGCUAACUACGUGCCAGCAGCCGCGGUAAUACGUAGGGUGCAAGCGUUGUCCGGAAUUAUUGGGCGUAAAGAGCUCGUAGGCGGUUUGUCGCGUCUGCUGUGAAAACCCGAGGCUCAACCUCGGGCCUGCAGUGGGUACGGGCAGACUAGAGUGCGGUAGGGGAGAUUGGAAUUCCUGGUGUAGCGGUGGAAUGCGCAGAUAUCAGGAGGAACACCGAUGGCGAAGGCAGAUCUCUGGGCCGUUACUGACGCUGAGGAGCGAAAGCAUGGGGAGCGAACAGGAUUAGAUACCCUGGUAGUCCAUGCCGUAAACGUUGGGAACUAGAUGUAGGGGCCAUUCCACGGUUUCUGUGUCGCAGCUAACGCAUUAAGUUCCCCGCCUGGGGAGUACGGCCGCAAGGCUAAAACUCAAAGGAAUUGACGGGGGCCCGCACAAGCGGCGGAGCAUGCGGAUUAAUUCGAUGCAACGCGAAGAACCUUACCAAGACUUGACAUAUACGAGAACGGGCCAGAAAUGGUCAACUCUUUGGACACUCGUAAACAGGUGGUGCAUGGUUGUCGUCAGCUCGUGUCGUGAGAUGUUGGGUUAAGUCCCGCAACGAGCGCAACCCUCGUUCUAUGUUGCCAGCACGUUAUGGUGGGAACUCAUAGGAGACUGCCGGGGUCAACUCGGAGGAAGGUGGGGAUGACGUCAAAUCAUCAUGCCCCUUAUGUCUUGGGCUUCACGCAUGCUACAAUGGCCGAUACAAAGGGCUGCAAUACCGUAAGGUGGAGCGAAUCCCAAAAAGUCGGUCUCAGUUCGGAUUGAGGUCUGCAACUCGACCUCAUGAAGUCGGAGUCGCUAGUAAUCGCAGAUCAGCAACGCUGCGGUGAAUACGUUCCCGGGCCUUGUACACACCGCCCGUCAAGUCAUGAAAGUCGGUAACACCCGAAGCCAGUGGCCUAACCGCAAGGAAGGA
RNAcentral lists this ribosomal RNA (969 nucleotides) under Leifsonia sp. S3H4. RNAcentral describes it as "bacterial SSU rRNA". It matches the Rfam family "Bacterial small subunit ribosomal RNA", at positions 485 to 1451 of the family's 1533-position model. The record is from RNAcentral. Lineage: Bacteria; Bacillati; Actinomycetota; Actinomycetes; Micrococcales; Microbacteriaceae.